This 330-nucleotide ribosomal RNA is filed under the name uncultured bacterium. RNAcentral describes it as "bacterial SSU rRNA". It matches the Rfam family "Bacterial small subunit ribosomal RNA", at positions 568 to 898 of the family's 1533-position model. The record is from RNAcentral.
UCCGUAGGCGGUGUGGCAAGUCGGUAGUGAAAUCUCUCGGCUUAACUGAGAGGCUGCUGCCGGAACUGCCAUGCUCGAGUGCGAGAGAGGCGAGUGGAAUUGCGGGUGUAGCGGUGAAAUGCGUAGAUAUCCGCAGGAACAUCCGAGGCGAAAGCGGCUCGCUGGAUCGCAACUGACGCUGAGGGACGAAAGCUAGGGGAGCAAACAGGAUUAGAUACCCUGGUAGUCCUAGCCCUAAACCAUCAGGACUUGGGGUUUGCCCUGUACGGGGCAAGUCCCGGAGCUAACGCGUUAAGUCCUGCGCCUGAGGAGUACGGUCGCAAGGCUGAA